GGGGAAUCUUAGACAAUGGGGGAAACCCUGAUCUAGCCAUGCCGCGUGAGCGAUGAAGGCCUUAGGGUUGUAAAGCUCUUUCAGCUGGGAAGAUAAUGACGGUACCAGCAGAAGAAGCCCCGGCUAACUCCGUGCCAGCAGCCGCGGUAAUACGGAGGGGGCUAGCGUUGUUCGGAAUUACUGGGCGUAAAGCGCGCGUAGGCGGACAUUUAAGUCGGGGGUGAAAUCCCGGGGCUCAGCCCCGGAACUGCCUUCGAUACUGGGUGUCUGGAGUUCGAGAGAGGUGAGUGGAAUUCCGAGUGUAGAGGUGAAAUUCGUAGAUAUUCGGAGGAACACCAGUGGCGAAGGCGGCUCACUGGCUCGAUACUGACGCUGAGGUGCGAAAGCGUGGGGAGCAAAC
RNAcentral lists this ribosomal RNA (400 nucleotides) under uncultured bacterium. RNAcentral describes it as "bacterial SSU rRNA". It matches the Rfam family "Bacterial small subunit ribosomal RNA", at positions 356 to 773 of the family's 1533-position model. The record is from RNAcentral.